RNAcentral lists this ribosomal RNA (500 nucleotides) under uncultured bacterium. Its description in RNAcentral is "partial 16S ribosomal RNA". It matches the Rfam family "Bacterial small subunit ribosomal RNA", at positions 30 to 523 of the family's 1533-position model. The record is from RNAcentral.
AUUGAACGCUGGCGGCAUGCCUUACACAUGCAAGUCGAACGGCAGCACGGGAGCAAUCCUGGUGGCGAGUGGCGAACGGGUGAGUAAAGUAUCGGAACGUGCCCAGUCGUGGGGGAUAACGUAGCGAAAGUUACGCUAAUACCGCAUACGAUCUAUGGAUGAAAGCGGGGGAUCGCAAGACCUCGCGCGAUUGGAGCGGCCGAUAUCAGAUUAGGUGGUUGGUGGGGUAAAGGCUCACCAAGCCGACGAUCUGUAGCUGGUCUGAGAGGACGACCAGCAACACUGGGACUGCGACACGGCCCAGACUCCUACGGGAGGCAGCAGUGGGGAAUUUUGGACAAUGGGCGAAAGCCUGAUCCAGCCAUGCCGCGUGCAGGAUGAUGGCCUUCGGGUUGUAAACUGCUUUUGUACGGAACGAAAAGGUUUGGCCUAAUAAGCUGAGCUCAUGACGGUACCGUAAGAAUAAGCACCGGCUAACUACGUGCCAGCAGCCGCCGUAA